Molecule: transfer RNA, 66 nt
Filed under: Staphylinidae sp. BMNH 1274241
Lineage: Eukaryota; Metazoa; Arthropoda; Insecta; Coleoptera; Staphylinidae
Description: tRNA-Glu
Source: RNAcentral
AUUUAUAUAGUUUACAUAAAACCUUAUAUUUUCACUAUAAAAAUAAGAAAUUUUUCUUUAUAAAUA